RNAcentral lists this ribosomal RNA (560 nucleotides) under Bacillota bacterium. RNAcentral describes it as "bacterial SSU rRNA". It matches the Rfam family "Bacterial small subunit ribosomal RNA", at positions 46 to 586 of the family's 1533-position model. The record is from RNAcentral. Lineage: Bacteria; Bacillati; Bacillota.
GCCUAAUACAUGCAAGUCGAGCGAAUGGAUUGAGAGCUUGCUCUCAAGAAGUUAGCGGCGGACGGGUGAGUAACACGUGGGUAACCUGCCCAUAAGACUGGGAUAACUCCGGGAAACCGGGGCUAAUACCGGAUAACAUUUUGAACUGCAUGGUUCGAAAUUGAAAGGCGGCUUCGGCUGUCACUUAUGGAUGGACCCGCGUCGCAUUAGCUAGUUGGUGAGGUAACGGCUCACCAAGGCAACGAUGCGUAGCCGACCUGAGAGGGUGAUCGGCCACACUGGGACUGAGACACGGCCCAGACUCCUACGGGAGGCAGCAGUAGGGAAUCUUCCGCAAUGGACGAAAGUCUGACGGAGCAACGCCGCGUGAGUGAUGAAGGCUUUCGGGUCGUAAAACUCUGUUGUUAGGGAAGAACAAGUGCUAGUUGAAUAAGCUGGCACCUUGACGGUACCUAACCAGAAAGCCACGGCUAACUACGUGCCAGCAGCCGCGGUAAUACGUAGGUGGCAAGCGUUAUCCGGAAUUAUUGGGCGUAAAGCGCGCGCAGGUGGUUUCUUAA